CUACGGGAGGCAGCAGUGGGGAAUCUUGCGCAAUGGGCGAAAGCCUGACGCAGCAACGCCGCGUGUGUGAUGAAGGUCUUCGGAUCGUAAAGCACUGUCGCGAGGGACGAAUAAGGGGCGGGCUAACAUCCCGUUCCGAUGACGGUACCUCGAGAGGAAGCACCGGCUAACUCUGUGCCAGCAGCCGCGGUAAUACAGAGGGUGCAAGCGUUGUUCGGAAUUAUUGGGCGUAAAGCGCGUGUAGGCGGCUUUGUAAGUUGGGUGUGAAAGCCCUCGGCUUAACCGAGGAAGUGCGCCCAAAACUGCAUGGCUUGAGUACCGGAGAGGGUGGCGGAAUUCCCGGUGUAGAGGUGAAAUUCGUAGAUAUCGGGAGGAACACCAGCGGCGAAGGCGGCCACCUGGACGGAUACUGACGCUGAGACGCGAAAGCGUGGGGAGCAAACAGGAUUAGAUACCCUGGUAGA
Molecule: ribosomal RNA, 464 nt
Filed under: uncultured bacterium
Lineage: Bacteria
Description: bacterial SSU rRNA
Rfam family: Bacterial small subunit ribosomal RNA
Source: RNAcentral